CAGCAGCCGCGGGAAUACGGAAGGUCCGGGCGUUAUCCGGAUUUAUUGGGUUUAAAGGGAGUGUAGGCGGUCUGUUAAGCGUGUUGUGAAAUUUAGGUGCUCAACAUUUAACUUGCAGCGCGAACUGGCGGACUUGAGUGCACGCAACGUAUGCGGAAUUCAUGGUGUAGCGGUGAAAUGCUUAGAUAUCAUGACGAACUCCGAUUGCGAAGGCAGCGUACGGGAGUGUUACUGACGCUUAAGCUCGAAGGUGCGGGUAUCGAACAGGAUUAGAUACCCCUGUAGUCCCUGUCUCUUAUAC
RNAcentral lists this ribosomal RNA (301 nucleotides) under uncultured bacterium. RNAcentral describes it as "partial 16S ribosomal RNA". It matches the Rfam family "Bacterial small subunit ribosomal RNA", at positions 509 to 807 of the family's 1533-position model. The record is from RNAcentral.